This 372-nucleotide ribosomal RNA is filed under the name uncultured bacterium. RNAcentral's name for it is "bacterial SSU rRNA". It matches the Rfam family "Bacterial small subunit ribosomal RNA", at positions 524 to 898 of the family's 1533-position model. The record is from RNAcentral.
UACGUAGGGUGCAAACGUUGUCCGGAAUUACUGGGUGUAAAGGGUGCGCAGGCGGGUAGGUGCGUCAGGGGUUAAAUAUUUCGGCUCAACCGAAAAAAUGCCUUUGAUACGGCCUAUCUUGAGUACGAGAGAGGAUGAUAGAAUUCCUGGUGUAGCGGUGAAAUGCGUAGAUAUCAGGAGGAAUACCAGUGGCGAAGGCGGUCAUCUGGCUCGUAACUGACGCUUAGGCACGAAAGUGUGGGUAGCGAACAGGAUUAGAUACCCUGGUAGUCCACACCCUAAACGAUGUAUGCUUGGUGUUGGGGGCUUGCCCUCAGUGCCGAAGGAAACCCGUUAAGCAUACCACCUGGGGAGUACGAUCGCAAGGUUGAA